AUAAAUAUAUAAAAGAGCAUUAGAUGGAUACCUUGAUAUUUAUUAUUAGGACGUUAUUUAUCGAAAAUUUAUAAUGAAUUUGUUAAUUGUGAUUUAUAAAAAUCCUUAGAAGAAAACUUUUUCUGAAUGAAUUUAAAAAUUUAGUGAAUUGAAACAUCUAAGUAACUAAAUUAUAAGAAAUCAAACGAAAUUCCGUUAGUAGUGGCGAGCGAACAUGGAUUAGGUUUUAAAAGAAAAAAAAUAAUAUGUAUAUAAUUUACAUAGAUGGUUUAUAUUCCAGUGUAUAAAAUUAGUUUUUUCUUUUUUGAGUAAAACGAAAUAGGUGUAAUUUUGUUUGAAUUUAAGGGAACCACCCUUUAAGCCUAAAAAAUAAUAAAUGAUCGAUAGCGAAUAAGUACUGUAAAGGAAAGGUGAAAUAGAAUUUACGAAAUUGAAAUAGAUAUUGAAAUCUAAUGCUUUUAUCAAUUGGAGCUUUUUUAAAAGUGACAAUGUACCUUUUGUAUAAUGGACCAGUAAGUUUAUUUAUAUAGCAAGUUUAAGUUGUGAAACGUAGACUUAGUGAAAGCGUAUUUGAAAUGAAUUAUUUGAGUUAUAUAAAUAAGACCCGAAACCGAGUGAUCUAAUUAUGAACAAGUUGAAAAAAUAUUAAUUUAUUUUUGAGGACUGAACUCGUACCUGUUGCAUAAGGUUGAGAUGAUUUGUGAUUAGGGGUGAAAGGCUAAUCAAACUCGGAGAUAGCUGGUUUUCUGUGAAAUCUAUUUACGUAAAGUGUUAAAAUUAUUAUUCUGGGGUAGAGAUAUCGAUAAAAGAGGGUUGCCUAUAAAGCUUUACCAAUUUUAAUGAAACUUCGAAUACAGAAUUAAUAUUUUAAUAAUCGGACUUACAAUGCUAAGGUUAUAAGUCAAGAGGGAAACAGCCCAGAUUGUUUAUUAAGGUCUUUAAAUUAUUUUUAAUUUCUCAUAAGAAAUGGGUUUUAAAAUAUAGAUAACUAAGAGUUAGGUUCGGAAGCAGCCAUUCUUUAAAGAAAGCGUAAAAGCUCAUUGGUUUAAUUUUAAAAUCCAAACGAUGUAUAGAGAUUGUAAGAAAUAUACCGAAAUAGCAAAUUUAAAUUUUAAUGUUUAAAUGGUAACAGAACGUUCUGUAUGCUUUAAGAUAAAUUGAAAAAUUUAUUAAUGUAUCAGAAGUGAUAAUACUGGUAUAAGUAAUAUAAAUAAUAUAAAAUAGGUAAUUAAAUAUUAUCGUCGAAAGUUUAAGGUUUUUAAUAUAUAGUUGUUAAACAAAAUUAAGUAAUACGGCCUCUAAGAAAAAAGUGAAAACUUUAUUUGAUGAGAUUUAUUUAAAAGGACUUUUUUUAUAAAUAAAAAUACUAUUUAUAAAAAAAUUCAAAAAACUUUUAAAAGAAACCGUACUAAAAACCAACACAGGUAAAUGGGUAGAGUAUACUAAGACGAUAAAGAGAAUCAUAGUGAAGGAACUCGGCAAAUUGACUUUGUAACUUCGGGAUAAAAAGUUUUUAUUAAUGUAUUUUUUAAUUAAUAAAAAUAAUAUGAAAGGGGGUAGCGACUGUUUAAUAAAAACACAGGACUUUGCUAAAUCGUAAGAUGAUGUAUAAGGUCUGACACCUGCCAAGAACUGUAUUGCAAAAGUUAAAAAGUAUUUUUUUUAGUAUAAACAACAGUAAUCGGCGGCCAUAACUCUGAUGGUCCUAAGGUAGCGAAAUUCCUUGUCAACUAAUUAUUGACGUGCAUGAAUGGUGUAACGACUUCCCCACUGUCUCCACUAUGAGCUUUAUGAAAUUGAAAUAUUCGUGAAGAUGCGAAUUAUAUAUGGUAAGACGGUAAGACCCCGUGCACCUUUACUACAAUCUUUUAUUGAUUAUUUUUAUAAAAUUGUGUAGAAUAAGUGGGAGUUUAAAUUUAUUUUUAAACAUUAGUGAAAUACCACUCGUUUUAUUAUUAAUAGCUAAUUUUGUUUUUAAAAAUAAAAGACAUAUAAAAGAAUGGUAGUUUAACUGGGGUGGUUUUCUCCUAAAAAGUAACGGAGAAAUAUAAAGGUAAAUUAAUAAUUAUUGUUGUGAUAAUUAUUUAUGUAUAAUGGCUUAAAUUUGCUUGACUGUAAGAUUGACAAAUCAAACAGAAACGAAAGUUGAUCAUAUUGACCCGGUAAUUCUUUGUGGAAAGGUUAUCGAUCAUUGGAUAAAAGGUACGCCGGGGGUAACAGGCUGAUAAUUCUCUAGAGUUCAUAUCGACGGAAUUGUUUGGCACCUCGAUGUCGGCUCAUCACAUCCUAGGGCUGAAGAAGGUUCUAAGGGUUUGGCUGUUCGCCAAUUAAAGUGGUACGUGAGCUGGGUUUAAAACGUCGUGAGACAGUUUUGUCCCUAUCUGCCAUAUAAAAAAGAAAAGAAGAAAAUAAUAAUUCUAGUACGAGAGGACCGAAUUAGAUUGAUCAAUGGUUUAUAAGUUAUUUAUUUUUUAUUUUAAUAAAUAAAAAAUAAGUAUUGUUUAGUAGCUAAAUCAAUAAAAGAUAAAUACUGAAUUAAUAUAAGUAUGAAGCUUUUUUUCUUAUUUUCUAAAAAAAAAGUAAGAGAUAAUUACUUAAAUAGGCUUUAUGUAUAUAUUUAUUGCUAAAAAGUACUAAUUUUUUGUAAAAUUUAUAAAAAAA
This 2661-nucleotide ribosomal RNA is filed under the name Blastocystis sp. subtype 6. RNAcentral's name for it is "large subunit ribosomal RNA". It matches the Rfam family "Bacterial large subunit ribosomal RNA". The record is from RNAcentral. Lineage: Eukaryota; Bigyra; Opalinata; Blastocystidae.